Molecule: long non-coding RNA, 1708 nt
Filed under: Sorghum bicolor (sorghum)
Lineage: Eukaryota; Viridiplantae; Streptophyta; Magnoliopsida; Poales; Poaceae
Description: long non-coding RNA (SBIC_LNC001407)
Source: RNAcentral
CCUAAAUGAUAUGGAUCCAAAAUCCAACCCAAUCAACUCUCACCACAUAUGUACUUAUUUACAUUUACAUAUAUUGCAUACCUGCUUUGUGUUUUGUACUUAAUGUCCCCCUGCUGUCCCCCUGCUAGAUAACUUGAAACCUGCAAUGUAAGAACAGAAAAAAUAAAAAAAAGAGAUUAGAGAAGAAUGAUAUAAAAAUUGUCUAAUGAUUUGCAUUAUUUUGUCUUGAUCUUACCACAAUAUUGCCUUGUCACAGUACAUUUAGUUGCCUAUUUCUAAUGAAGUUUAGUAACUAACCAAUGCAUAUGUGACAUGUAGUCAUGUCAAUUAGUAGUAUCUUAACUACAAUCCAUGAUACCCCCAACCGAUCCAACUAUCAUUUGUCAUACUCCUACAUCGCAAAACAUAAAAGAACCUAGCCAAAAGACCAAAAAGCAUGAUAGGCCCAUUGCUUGUCAUUAGAUAUGGAAAAAUGCUUGUACUGUUGGUUGGAGAACUUGUAGUAAACUUUCCCCAUGUAGAAAUUACAGCCUGUGAGCAUUUCAAUUAUAUAAUUUCAGCCUAUGUAGAAAUUACAUGCAUAUGGGCUAAUCUAUUGGUUUGAACUGAGCAAUUACACUAAUUAUGAGUAUAAAGCUGUGGUGUCAAAAAAAGUAUAGUAAUCUUAAUGGAUAAUAGCGAGAAACUCACUUUCUUAAAAUGCCUUGUAGCUGGCAACAAAUCAACUCCCCAACCCUCCCCCCACUUCCAUACCCACAACAUACAUCCGUAAUAUAGAAAAUUGAUACAUUUAAAACAACAAAGUAGGUUCUAGUUGAAAAACUCACCUCAAAUUUGCAGUCAACAAUAGGGCCGCACUCGUGCCACGGACAAGGGCACCACUGCAAGUUACACAAUAUGGGGCUAUAAGGUGGAAGUUGGUCAGGAUGAGGGUGAGGUGCAACACGGUUGUCACUGAGAAGCCUGCAAGUGAAAUUAAACAAAGCAAGUAUGCUAAUUUAGUGUGUAAAUUGGACAAUCCAGUAUUUCUAUAGAUGCUUAGAAAUCAGAAACUCACAUGAAGCAAAUAUGGUAAUGCUGCAUUGGAUUGCAUUUUCUUAGGCAAUUUGAGUGUCGUUCAUUAGGAAACAAUAUCUUUCUUAAUAGACAAUUUAUGUAUUCUGGAAAAGCAAGUAUAGUGUCUAUGUUCAUUUGCAUCCCAGAGUUCCCUAUUUAAAUAUAUGCUGGUAAGAUAAAUCAAAUGUACUGAAGGUGGAUAAAAAUAAAACUGAGAAAUCAAGUAGAUACGAGAGCAUGGUCUAUCUUGGUUGUACAGAGGGCAUGGCCUUGUGGCAUGGAAAUAAGAGCAAGGCAAGAAAGUAUUACAAUAGCGUACCUCUCAGUGAUCGAUUACUGUAAAUUGCUGAUACUGCUAGUAGCAAAAAGAUUAAUGUAGUUGAGCCACUGAACUAAAAAUUAAAUCGAUUUGGAGCUGAUGAAAUAUGAAAAGAUGAAAGAGUGAGGACACAAGGCGAUGAUUUCUAUUGGAGAAGGAUAAUUAUAUGAUUUCUAUCUCCACACACAUAGGAGGAAGCCAUACUUUUCCAAAAAAUAAGUAAAAAGAAAAGAAGGAUCAGAUUGAGAAGGCUAUCAUUUAAAUCAGGUUUGCAUGUGCUAUUUGCCUGAGAAUUCAGGAUACACAAUUUAAUAUCUUGUUGCUACAUUUGUC